RNAcentral lists this ribosomal RNA (465 nucleotides) under uncultured Klebsiella sp. RNAcentral describes it as "bacterial SSU rRNA". It matches the Rfam family "Bacterial small subunit ribosomal RNA", at positions 338 to 795 of the family's 1533-position model. Lineage: Bacteria; Pseudomonadati; Pseudomonadota; Gammaproteobacteria; Enterobacterales; Enterobacteriaceae. The record is from RNAcentral.
CCUACGGGUGGCAGCAGUGGGGAAUAUUGCACAAUGGGUGCAAGCCUGAUGCAGCCAUGCCGCGUGUGUGAAGAAGGCCUUCGGGUUGUAAAGCACUUUCAGCGGGGAGGAAGGCGUUAAGGUUAAUAACCUUGGCGAUUGACGUUACCCGCAGAAGAAGCACCGGCUAACUCCGUGCCAGCAGCCGCGGUAAUACGGAGGGUGCAAGCGUUAAUCGGAAUUACUGGGCGUAAAGCGCACGCAGGCGGUCUGUCAAGUCGGAUGUGAAAUCCCCGGGCUCAACCUGGGAACUGCAUUCGAAACUGGCAGGCUGGAGUCUUGUAGAGGGGGGUGGAAUUCCAGGUGUAGCGGUGAAAUGCGUAGAGAUCUGGAGGAAUACCGGUGGCGAAGGCGGCCCCCUGGACAAAGACUGACGCUCAGGUGCGAAAGCGUGGGGAGCAAACAGGAUUAGAUACCCGAGUAGUC